CGGGGCGUGGCCCAGCUUGGUAGGGCGCUUGGUUCGGGACCAAGAAGUCGUGGGUUCAAGUCCCGUCGCCCCGA
RNAcentral lists this transfer RNA (74 nucleotides) under Clostridiales bacterium. RNAcentral's name for it is "tRNA-Pro". It matches the Rfam family "tRNA". From Rfam's summary of the family: Transfer RNA (tRNA) molecules are approximately 80 nucleotides in length. Their secondary structure includes four short double-helical elements and three loops (D, anti-codon, and T loops). Further hydrogen bonds mediate the characteristic L-shaped molecular structure. tRNAs have two regions of fundamental functional importance: the anti-codon, which is responsible for specific mRNA codon recognition, and the 3' end, to which the tRNAs corresponding amino acid is attached (by aminoacyl-tRNA synthetases). tRNAs cope with the degeneracy of the genetic code in two manners: having more than one tRNA (with a specific anti-codon) for a particular amino acid; and 'wobble' base-pairing, i.e. permitting non-standard base-pairing at the 3rd anti-codon position. The record is from RNAcentral. Lineage: Bacteria; Bacillati; Bacillota; Clostridia; Eubacteriales.